AGCGAGGUAGGACAACGGGAAGUCCGCCGCCAAAUAGUGCGGAAAUGUGAGUUCAAGUCUCGCCCUCGCACCUA
RNAcentral lists this transfer RNA (74 nucleotides) under Caudoviricetes sp. Its description in RNAcentral is "tRNA-OTHER". The record is from RNAcentral. Lineage: Duplodnaviria; Heunggongvirae; Uroviricota; Caudoviricetes.